UCUGGCUCAGGACGAACGCUGGCGGCGUGCCUAAUACAUGCAAGUCGAGCGCGUGAAACAUUUCUGAUCCUCAUCUGAGGUGACGAGAUGUGGAACGAGCGGCGGACGGGUGAGUAACACGUGGGCAACCUGCCUGUAAGACUGGGAUAACUUCGGGAAACCGGAGCUAAUACCGGAUAAAACUUAUUACCACAUGGUGAAAAGAUGAAAGGCGGCGCAAGCUGUCACUUACAGAUGGGCCCGCGGCGCAUUAGCUAGUUGGUGAGGUAACGGCUCACCAAGGCGACGAUGCGUAGCCGACCUGAGAGGGUGAUCGGCCACACUGGGACUGAGACACGGCCCAGACUCCUACGGGAGGCAGCAGUAGGGAAUCUUCCGCAAUGGACGAAAGUCUGACGGAGCAACGCCGCGUGAGUGAUGAAGGUUUUCGGAUCGUAAAACUCUGUUGUUAGGGAAGAACAAGUCGGGUAGUAACUGACCCGGCCGUGACGGUACCUAACCAGAAAGCCCCGGCUAACUACGUGCCAGCAGCCGCGGUAAUACGUAGGGGGCGAGCGUUGUCCGGAAUUAUUGGGCGUAAAGCGCGCGCAGGCGGUCCUUUAAGUCUGAUGUGA
RNAcentral lists this ribosomal RNA (614 nucleotides) under Virgibacillus sp. PA17CONT2(2010). RNAcentral's name for it is "bacterial SSU rRNA". It matches the Rfam family "Bacterial small subunit ribosomal RNA", at positions 18 to 597 of the family's 1533-position model. The record is from RNAcentral. Lineage: Bacteria; Bacillati; Bacillota; Bacilli; Caryophanales; Bacillaceae.